CUGGGAACCAUGACUAUAACACACAAGCCUUUGGGGGACAGUCAAGAUCCAAACUACUGCAAGAAGCAUCAUCUUCACUGAAAAUGUUCUAGUUUCCUGUGAUUACAGGAGAAAAUUUCUCCCAACAAGGUUUUCCAGAUGGCUGUGUUGGAUCCUGCCAACCACACCAGAUGGGAAGGGUUCCCUUACCUGAACUGAAUCUGCACAUCCCUCCAGAAGUUCUCUGUCAAGCUGAGCUCCUGAGCGAGAUACAUAGGAAAUGGUUGUGUUAAAUGAACAUCCUUUAUUCUUGGUUAUGACUUAAUCCUUGUCUGAAGCCUAAGCCAGAAACUGGUGUAAGAAGCCAGCCUAUCGGUUUGCUUCCCUACAGCUGCGACUUGGUCCUGCGUAUUCCUCUGGAUUAAAAACAGCUCCUAAAACAAAGACUCAGCCAACCCCAUUUUGCCAUUCUGGAGGCAGAAAUAGAAAGAGAGGGAGUUUCCUGGAAUUACUUAUCAUUCAUUCACCCUUUCCAGCACCAUCUCCAUUGCCAAGUCCUGACGGCUUUUGUGAGCCAGGAACCUGUGAACAGCUUAGCCCUGCAGCUCUGCCUCAAAGCUUCUCAUGGGUGGCAAUCAAGAUGUGGGUCAGACUGUCAUCUGAAGACCUGACCAGUGUGAAGUAUCUGCUUCUGUGUGACUCACUUACAUUUCCUCACAUGAGGCCCUCUUCACAGGACUGCUUGCGCAUCCUCAUGACAUGACACUGGCUUCUUCCAUAGUGAGCAAUCAAAGAGAAUGAAGAGGAAGCCACUGGUACCUUUACAUUCUAGGCUUUGACUGAUUUUCCAUCUGGCCUAACCAGAGCCUGAGGUUACUGAAUCCAGUGGAGCCAAUAGGUUCGACUUGAGCUUGCUUAAAGCAUGCUUAGAACAGGGAAAGACAAAUUGGCUCCUUUCUGAAAGGCCUAUGGAGCAGAAGCCUGCUUCUCCCUCCCCAGACCACAGCCUUGAAAGAGAAAACAUCCUGUUCUUCCAACUCAUGAGAAGCCACUGCAGUGGAGCAAGAGGCUCGGUGGCCGUUUCCCACUCAAGAAGCUCACUGACUGGCAGCCUUAAGGGCAAGGACCUUAUCAGGCAGACCUGAUUCCCAUCCCAGGUCCUGGGGUACCAGGCAGGGUUAGAUAAGGCUGGGCUUAUCAACUCAGCUCCAACAGCCCCGGAGAAAACAAAAGAGCAGCACAAAGUUUCCACGCUUGGGAAGAAGUCAAGGUUAGCAAAGCACUAGACCCAGGUAUCUGGCAGAGGUGACAAAGGGACCUUACAACUGAAAGCAACAAGACCAGGUGGGGUCAGGGACACUCUUGGAGUGCCGGUAACCAGAGGCAGGAUAGGCUCAGGAGAGGCAGCCCUUGCCCGCAUGCCAUGUAGACUAUCCCACACAGCUGCCACCUAGAGGAGAAGGGAGACAAUAGAGCAAAGCCAGAAUUAGUUGAAUUUUAAGAUGAAAAGACUGAGAAAACACAGAGGAUUUCUAGAAAGAAUCAGGGUCGCAUGGUAUUAAGUGGAUUAUGUUGAAUUAGGAAAAAAUAAUGUUAUAUAUUUCUUGCACACACUAGUUUGUGGCUUAGGAAAAUUCAAACAUGCUUAUAAACAUGCCAAUGCCUUGCCCCGUAUGCCAUACCAUGCAGAGAGAAGGGGCUGUUUGGGGUUAGUGAGUCUCUCAGAAAUUUAAGAGAUGGCUAGAAUCGCAAGGCAUAAAGUGAUAGUACCUGAAAGUCUUCUAGAACACAGUUCAGAAAAUAUUAUUUCUUUAAAGGGCCAGAUAAUAAACAUUUUAUGCUUUUCCAACUGUAUAGUCUCUGCACCUCUUCAGCUCUGCCAUGGCAGCACAAAACAGCCAUGUACAAUACAUAAAUGAGUGGGCCGCGCUAGGUUCCAAUAAA
This is a long non-coding RNA of Marmota monax (woodchuck), 1923 nucleotides long. RefSeq lists it as uncharacterized. The transcript is spliced from 5 exons. The record is from RefSeq and is a predicted model, not a curated record. Lineage: Eukaryota; Metazoa; Chordata; Mammalia; Rodentia; Sciuridae.